AUAUUAAUAAGCGGAGGAAAAGAAACUAACUAGGAUUCCCCCAGUAACGGCGAGUGAAGCGGGAUGAGCUCAAGCUAAAAUCUUGAUAAUAUCGAGGAAUGUAGCGUAAAUGAGUAGUUUACAAAGUAACAGCAGAGGUAAAGUCCCUUGGAAAAGGGCAGCAAAGAGGGUAAUACUCCCGUUUUGACUCUGUUGUUAUUUGAUGUUUACUCUCAGAAGAGUCGAGUUGUUUGGGAAUACAGCUCAAAGCAGGUGGUAAAUUCCAUCUAAAGCUAAAUAUAUGUAUGAGACCGAUAGCGCACAAGUA
Molecule: ribosomal RNA, 307 nt
Filed under: uncultured eukaryote
Lineage: Eukaryota
Description: partial large subunit ribosomal RNA
Rfam family: Eukaryotic large subunit ribosomal RNA
Source: RNAcentral